GGGGAAUCUUAGACAAUGGGCGCAAGCCUGAUCUAGCCAUGCCGCGUGAGCGAUGAAGGCCUUAGGGUUGUAAAGCUCUUUCGUGGGGGAAGAUAAUGACUGUACCCCAAGAAGAAGCCCCGGCUAACUCCGUGCCAGCAGCCGCGGUAAUACGGAGGGGGCUAGCGUUGUUCGGAAUUACUGGGCGUAAAGCGCACGUAGGCGGACCGGAAAGUCAGAGGUGAAAUCCCAGGGCUCAACCUUGGAAAUGCCUUUGAAACUCCCGGUCUUGAGUGCGAGAGAGGUGAGUGGAAUUCCGAGUGUAGAGGUGAAAUUCGUAGAUAUUAGGAGGAACACCAGUGGCGAAGGCGGCUCACUGGCUCGAUACUGACGCUGAGGUGCGAAAGCGUGGGGAGCAAAC
Molecule: ribosomal RNA, 400 nt
Filed under: uncultured bacterium
Lineage: Bacteria
Description: bacterial SSU rRNA
Rfam family: Bacterial small subunit ribosomal RNA
Source: RNAcentral